RNA transcript from Phalaenopsis equestris, 2151 nucleotides. It is a transcript of the gene named sugar transporter ERD6-like 4, with no coding region annotated. The record is from RefSeq and is a predicted model, not a curated record. The transcript is spliced from 17 exons. NCBI's taxonomy places the organism in Eukaryota, Viridiplantae, Streptophyta, Magnoliopsida, Asparagales, Orchidaceae.
GCUGUUUGUUGGCUAAUGCAAAGGUUACAAAGCGUUAUGCCGUUUUCCAGCGAAGCGCCCGCCCUGAAAAAGACAUGACAAUUAUGUAAAGAAACCUGACCUUCGCUCCUUCGUUCACCUUCCAACUUCCUCUCCAACUUCCUCUCCUCCUUUCUCUUGUUAUUGUCGUGUCUUUUUACUUCCUCAUUGAAUCAAACAAAGAAGCCACAGACCAACAAUCGUGAGGUUGUAAAGGAGGGGGUGAGAGAGUGUGUUCUAGGAGAGAAUGAGCUUUCGAGGAGAUGACAGCAGCGGAGAGGAGGGGCGGUCGGAGCUGCAGAAACCAUUGCUGCACACGGGCAGCUGGUACAGGAUGGGUAUGGGCUCCCGGCAAUCGAGUUUGAUGGAGAAGCUCGGCUCCUCUGCCUCUGUCAUUCGCGACUCUUCCAUCUCCGUUGUACUCUGCACCCUUAUCGUCGCCCUCGGCCCCAUACAGUACGGAUUCACUAGCGGUUACUCCUCCCCCGCGCAGUUUGACGUCAUACGCGACCUCUCCCUCACUAUCUCUGAGUUCUCGAUCUUUGGAUCUUUAUCAAACGUGGGCGCAAUGGUUGGGGCUAUCUCUAGCGGCCAGAUUGCCGAAUACAUUGGGCGAAAAGGGUCCCUGAUGAUUGCUUCGAUACCGAACAUUAUCGGUUGGUUGGCUAUUUCGUUUGCCAAGGAUUCUUCGUUCUUGUACAUGGGCCGGCUGCUGGAAGGAUUUGGCGUUGGCAUCAUAUCCUACACGGUACCCGUUUACAUAGCAGAGAUUGCUCCUCGGAACAUGAGAGGAGGGCUCGGUGCAGUCAAUCAGUUGUCUGUAACUAUUGGUAUAAUGGUCGCCUAUCUCCUGGGCAUGUUUGUAAAUUGGCGGGCGCUUGCUGUGAUAGGAAUUUUGCCAUGCACAAUCCUCAUACCUGGUCUGUUUUUCAUCCCCGAAUCUCCGAGGUGGUUGGCUAAAAUGGGAAUGAUGGAUGAUUUUGAAGCAUCCCUCCAAGUCUUGAGGGGUUUUGAUGCUGAUAUUAGUGUAGAAUUGAAUGAAAUCAAGCGAUCUGUCACAACAUCAUCAAGCAGAAGGACUGCAAUACGGUUUCAUGAUCUCAAGCAGAAAAGAUAUAAAGUUCCUCUUAUGAUAGGAAUUGGUCUUCUUGCACUGCAGCAAGCAAGUGGAAUCAAUGGCAUCUUGUUUUAUGCUUCUAGUAUCUUCAAAGCUGCAGGGAUUUCAUCUAGUAACAUAGUUACAUGCGGGCUUGGAGCUAUUCAGGUUCUCGCCACUGGAACUAAUGCAUGGUUGUUAGAUAAAGCUGGUCGUCGAUUAUUUCUCAUAAUCUCCACUUCUGGGACGUCUGCUAGUCUUAUCCUUGUUUCGAUAUCAUUCUUUAUCAAGGGUUCUGUUCCAGAAGGUUCGGACUUGCAUUCUGUGCUCAGUGUGCUCUCAUUGGUCGGACUUGUGGGUUUUGUCAUUUUCUUUUCACUUGGGCUGGGCGCCAUUCCAUGGGUCGUAAUGUCAGAGAGAAUCUUACCAAUAAGAGCGGAGGACCAGGCCUCCAAUGUGGACGCGGCGCCCUCUGUUUUGGGAUGUGCUCGGGGCCUGCUUUGUGGCGGGGCUAAAGGUGUCUUCCGGCCCAAGCCCACGAGGGUGGCGUAAAUCGAGCGGGGCUUACGCGCGAAUACAACCGGAGUGCAGUACACGCCUCACGGGAUGUACGCCUCGCCUCCUAAUCGAAUAAAAAGGGUAAAAAAUCUCUAAUUUUAAAUACCUAUCUCAUUCGAGCUUCUCCCGCACGCAAUCAUCCCCUACAGACACAACUUCCUCCAUCGCAUGCAGAGUCGAAGAGGAUUCUGCCGUCGUCUGCUUCGUUCCUCGCACCGCACCCACAGAAAAUUCCGUAGCAUGCUUGUCUGCUUUGUCUCACUUGUUCUCGCACGUAAGCGAUCUUCGUCUCGCACGCGGGCCCUUGCAUGCAGGCUCUGUCACGCACGCUUGGAUUACGUUCGUCAGCGUUGUCUUCUCCCGCAGCGGCAUUGUUUCUCCUGCAGCGACGCAACCAGUGAGAUUCUUCCGGUCAAUAUCAAAGGCCUUGCUGGAAGUGUGGCGACAUUAGCCAAUUGGUUGACUGCUUUUAUCAUCAC